This 253-nucleotide ribosomal RNA is filed under the name uncultured bacterium. RNAcentral's name for it is "partial 16S ribosomal RNA". It matches the Rfam family "Bacterial small subunit ribosomal RNA", at positions 524 to 776 of the family's 1533-position model. The record is from RNAcentral.
UACGGAGGGUGCAAGCGUUGUUCGGAAUCACUGGGCGUAAAGGGCGUGUAGGCGGCCAACUAAGUCCGACGUGAAAUCCCCAGGCUUAACCUGGGAACUGCGUCGGAUACUGGAUGGCUUGAAUCCGGGAGAGGGAUGCGGAAUUCCAGGUGUAGCGGUGAAAUGCGUAGAUAUCUGGAGGAACACCGGUGGCGAAGGCGGCAUCCUGGACCGGCAUUGACGCUAAAGCGCGAAAGCCAGGGGAGCAAACGGG